Molecule: ribosomal RNA, 253 nt
Filed under: uncultured Prevotella sp.
Lineage: Bacteria; Pseudomonadati; Bacteroidota; Bacteroidia; Bacteroidales; Prevotellaceae
Description: partial 16S ribosomal RNA
Rfam family: Bacterial small subunit ribosomal RNA
Source: RNAcentral
UACGGAAGGUCCGGGCGUUAUCCGGAUUUAUUGGGUUUAAAGGGAGCGUAGGCCGGCUUUUAAGUCAGCUGUGAAAGUCCGCGGCUCAACCGUGGAAUUGCAGUUGAAACUGGAGGCCUUGAGUGCACACAGGGGUGCCGGAAUUCAUGGUGUAGCGGUGAAAUGCUUAGAUAUCAUGAAGAACUCCGAUCGCGAAGGCAAGUGUCCGGGGUGCAACUGACGCUGAGGCUCGAAGGCCAGGGGAGCGAAAGGG